CACCAAAGUCAACUUCAUUGGAAAAUGUAUGUAUGUUGUUGAUUUGAAUCCACUACAGUGAUCAUCUCAGUGCAACGUGUUCCUGUUUGAACAUUAAGUUCUGCUGUGGUUUGUGUUUAAGGUGACCUGGGACAUACAGUAAGUCUAAUAACACUACUAAUCAUUUGCUAUCAGUUAUUUAUCUGUCUGAGAUAAUGUCAGGUUCUGCUGGAUGAUGGACCCAAACGUGCAGCUCGGAGACUGAGAAACGCUUAAAGGGUUUAUUCUGACGCUCGGUCACACAGGCUGAGGUGGGUUCACAGUAAAUCACAAGGCUGGAAAGAAUAAGGAACAAGCAGGAAGUUAACAAAACAGGAAAUGGCGAGAAACGACAACUGCAAGUCUCUAUUCUUGUCAAAUGAAGAUGUUCUCUGUCUCUAAGAUCAUCCCUCCACAUUUUUGCAAAUAAGGAAAUUGGAAAGAACCUUAGGGAGUCAAUUUGUCCAGUCAUUCAUCCUAUUUCAUCCCAGCAGCACAAAAUACAGUAUAGAGCAAAUAAAUAAAGACUGACAGUGUCUUUGUUAUGAGGUUCUCCUACUGUAACACAGUCUGUGGAGGCCUGACGUGUCCUGGCUCAGUAGUCGGGAGCCAACAGGGCCUUUAUACAGUGUUCACCAUGUUAGCAGGCGUAUGAGGAAGUCCAUGAGCAUGCGUUUGAUGCCUGGGUAUGAAGGCAGCCUCAAAGGACUCCUCCUCAGGCAGCAUGGUCAGAGGUUGGUGAGAGGAUCUGGAACUGAGUGACAGCCUCUUCAGUCAGAGCUGAGGUUCCAGUCUAUAACAGGUACCAUGACCACGUUCUGUCUUAACUUUCAGACUGCGUGUGAUGAAACCUACAGUAUCGUCACCUAUGAACACAAGACUGAGUGACAACAACUGCAUCAGUGCUGAGAGAGAGCACAGCAGUCACUUCAAUAUCCAUCCAUUUUCUGUUGCACAUUUCUCUUUUUUCUUAUCAUUAAAAACAAAACAAUCAAUAAACAUGUUUGUAACAUGUUUGUUUGUAACAUGUUUGAAUGCAUAUACAAAAAUGAGCAAAAGACUGAAUGCAGCCUAAAACAUGAAUAAAGAAUAAUUCACUUCCUCA
Molecule: long non-coding RNA, 1123 nt
Organism: Betta splendens (Siamese fighting fish)
Lineage: Eukaryota; Metazoa; Chordata; Actinopteri; Anabantiformes; Osphronemidae
Source: Ensembl